This 1473-nucleotide ribosomal RNA is filed under the name Triticum aestivum (bread wheat). RNAcentral describes it as "partial small subunit ribosomal RNA". The record is from RNAcentral. Lineage: Eukaryota; Viridiplantae; Streptophyta; Magnoliopsida; Poales; Poaceae.
AUGAACAACACAGUGAAGGAAGAACUCCGUGCAAGCCCAAGUCAUGAGUGCUUUUCAACUUCGACGCUACUUUUAAGAGGGAACCGCCAUAUGAGAAGUAUAUCGGAAGAAUUCUUUUGCCGCGUGGGAAUGCUUAGAGUGCUAGACCUGUCCUUCACUCCAAUCAGAACCCUUCCCCAGUCCAUUUCUCGUCUGUUUCACCUCCGGUUGCUGCUACUGGUUGGAUGUGGACACUUGGAGAGAAUUCAGCACAUAGGCUCGCUGGAGAUGCUGGAGGCACUGAGUGCAUCAGGUUGUGGCUCCCUAAAAAGGGUAGAAUGUGGAUCAUUUGACCGUAUGGGGUUGCUCAAGAUCCUCGACCUUUCGAGAACUUCUAUCGAAUGCUUGCCAUCCCUGGCUGCGUGCAUGGAGCUUAACCAACUUCUGCUACAAGAUUGCCCAUGCCUCAAGUUUGAGCAAACUACAGAAACAAACCACAAUUCAUGUGAUACAACAGCAUUUAUCAAGUUCCCUUAUGGAGUUUCAAAAACAGGUGCCGUCAGUAACCUCCAGAUAGGAGUAAGUAAGGAUCCGGUGGAUUGGAAGGCCAUGCUUUGGUUGCCGCGUGGACUUACUUUCGAGUUGUCUGACAGAUUUGGCAUGAGGGUCUCUCAAGAUGUAAACCAGGACGGAAAAACAUACAUUUAUUCAAGUCAGGCCAACUUCGCUCAGUCUUUGUCUUUGGACAAAGACUCUACACUGUGGUCAAACUGCUUUCGAAAGUUUCACAUAGUUAUCUCCCCUUUAAACUCUGACCAAACAAUGGACAAUGGCUUUGAAGUAUGGAGGACAAAAUUUUCUUUGAUGGACAGACAGUCAGGUGAUUUCGAUAGGGUUUUGGAGAUAAAAUGUGUCAGCAAUCCUGAUGAUCUCGAAGGGAUUCUUAGACACGCUGAGCUAAUAUCAUUAAAAAGUAUAACACUGACAAAUCUGAAUAUAUGGAUCUCUAACAUGGAUAAUUUAGCAUACUUCUGCCAAGGGAUGGAAGAUUUGACUAGUUUCAGUUGUCUGAUGCACUUGCUCCUCGAUUGCUGUCCAAAACUGAACUUCCUCUUUCCUUCAUCCCUGCGCCUGCUGAAUCUUCGUAGCCUACAAAUAAGGUUCUGUGACAGCUUGGAGAGAGUGUUAGACGAAUCGGUCGCCACGGAACAUGCUCUUCCGAGGCUACAGUCGCUGCAGCUGUGGGAGCUUCCAGAGCUUAGCUGCAUCUGCGGAGGGGUCUUGCCGUCUCUCAAGGACUUGAAGGUGAAGGGCUGUGCGAAACUGAAGGGAAUCCCCAUUGGUGUCACUGAAAAUAACCCAUUCUUCGCAACGAUAAUAGGAGAAACGCAAUGGUGGAAUGAUUUAGUCUGGGUUGAUGGAAGUAAGCUACUGACAGGAGGUGCAGUGGUGCCUCAGCGUAGCAUUUGGCGCCAGCGGCUCUUGAUAUCGUGA